AUUUGUUUUUUGCACCGGUUCUAACCAAACCGGUGUUAAAAGUUUGUUUUUCUACCGGUUCGUUUCGAACCGGUGCGAAAGCAAUAGUUAAAUAAAAAAAAAACCCGGUCUCCGAUCUUACUUUUACUCUUCCGUAGUCCCUCUUUCAUCUCAAACCCCUGUAUAAUCUCAAACCCUACUCCGCUUUUCACUUUCAUCACAAUCUCCUUUUCUCUCCUCUCCCCGUCAUUACAGAUCUGUCGCCCUAAAACUUCUGGCUCGAGACUCCAUCGCCGUCACCACGACACCAAUUGGUGAAGGUGAAUUUCUACCUUUUCGUCCCUCAAUCAUCUUCUUCUUGCAUUUGCUUCUGAAGGUGUCCGCAAUUUUGGAUCUUGGUUGUGGUAAGGUGGGGGUUUCAGAUCUUUGUGGUGGUGAGGUGGGAUUUUGAUUCAUUUCCUUGGUGGUGGUAAUUUGGGGAUUCAGAUCUAAAUUAGUGGUGGUUUUUGGGGUUUCGAUUUUGUUGGAGGUGGUAAUAAGGUGGUUGUUUCGGUUCGCUGGUGGUCGUGCGAGUUGGUUGGGGGUUUGUUGGUGGUCGCUGGUGAUGUGGGGCUUCAAUUGGUGGUGGUGCGAGUUGGUUGGGUGGCUUUUGGGUGGUUGUGGUGGGGUUUCAUGGCGGUGAGAGGGUGGUUACAAGGUGGGUGCUGGUGGUGAUUAUUUUCUCUCUCAUCCAAUUGUCUGUGAUUCAGGUUCGCACUGGAUGUUUACGUUCUAUGAUUUACUUAACCGUGCAGUUCCAAAUCAUACAGCUUUGUCAUCAAAUUAUUUGCAAAAUCUAUAUGGAUCCAAAUUCCAGGUUAAAGGAAUUGAAAAGGAAGAGAUAAUUUGUGCCAAACAGGAGCUGGGACAGAAAAAAAACUUAUAGACCUACAGGUUGGAGAUCUUUUUAACCUUCUGAGUGCGAUUUUUUUUGGUGUCCAUAUGUUGAAGUCUUAGAGAAUUUCAAGAACCACAACAAAAGAGAACUUCAUACCACUCCUUGGAUAUGAGGUUGAGAGCCUUGUCAAAAUAUCAACCAUAACGUUUGGGCAAUUGGGUGUUUCAAUUCCUAGGCAGCCAAUAGUUAAAAGAAUGUAAAUUUUUUAUUUAUUUUUAUCGCACAUGUUGAUAUUUUUGCCUGUUUUCUGAGCAGUUCUGAGGUUUCAUCCAGGUAUGUGUUGUUGCAGUCUCAUCAAUCACCUAGUUCUUAUUCGAAGGCUGGUUUGAUGAAAGUCAUAGACCUUGGACAUGGGAAUUGUUUUUGGUAUCAUGGGUCUCUUUUCCUUGGAUAUUAGCAAUAUACACAGGAGUGCUCUCCGGGAUAUGCUUAUGGGUAGAGCGCAGGAAGUAUCAGCAACUAAAGCAGCUAUUAUUUACGGACUGGAACCAAUUUGGGGAGCUGGCUUUGCUUGGUUCCUUCUUGGUGAAAGAUGGGGUAUUUAUGGAUGGAUUGGUAAAACAGCAGCAACAGCAAGCACGCAUAGCACCACCAGACAACAGCUAACAGCCAGCAGAUAGCCAACAGGCUUUGCAAAA
This is a long non-coding RNA of Chenopodium quinoa (quinoa), 1554 nucleotides long. RefSeq lists it as uncharacterized. NCBI's taxonomy places the organism in Eukaryota, Viridiplantae, Streptophyta, Magnoliopsida, Caryophyllales, Amaranthaceae. The record is from RefSeq and is a predicted model, not a curated record. The transcript has 6 exons.